RNAcentral lists this ribosomal RNA (504 nucleotides) under Clostridioides difficile. Its description in RNAcentral is "bacterial LSU rRNA". It matches the Rfam family "Bacterial large subunit ribosomal RNA", at positions 811 to 1323 of the family's 2925-position model. Lineage: Bacteria; Bacillati; Bacillota; Clostridia; Peptostreptococcales; Peptostreptococcaceae. The record is from RNAcentral.
GUGGGUAGCGGUGAAAUUCCAAUCGAGCCCGGAGAUAGCUGGUUCUCCCCGAAAUAGCUUUAGGGCUAGCCUCAAGGUGAGAGAUACGGAGGUAGAGCACUGAAUGUCCUAGGGGGUAUUGCACCUACCGAAGACUAUCAAACUCCGAAUGCCGUCAUCUUAUACUUGGGAGUCAGACUGUGGGUGAUAAGAUUCAUAGUCGAAAGGGCAACAGCCCAGAUCGUCAGCUAAGGUCCCUAAAUGUAAGUUAAGUGGUAAAGGAUGUGGGAUUGCACAGACAACCAGGAUGUUGGCUUAGAAGCAGCCACUCAUUCAAAGAGUGCGUAAUAGCUCACUGGUCGAGUGAUCCUGCGCCGAAGAUUUCCGGGGCUAAAACUUACUACCGAAGCUACGGCAUCAGUAAUGAUGGGUAGGGGAGCUUCCCAUACGGGUUGAAGCAUGACCGUAAGGACAUGUGGACAGUAUGGGAGUGAGAAUGUUGGCAUGAGUAGCGAGAUGUGGGUG